CUAACACAUGCAAGUCGAGCGGAUGAAGGGAGCUUGCUCCUGGAUUCAGCGGCGGACGGGUGAGUAAUGCCUAGGAAUCUGCCUGGUAGUGGGGGAUAACGUCCGGAAACGGGCGCUAAUACCGCAUACGUCCUGAGGGAGAAAGUGGGGGAUCUUCGGACCUCACGCUAUCAGAUGAGCCUAGGUCGGAUUAGCUAGUUGGUGGGGUAAAGGCCUACCAAGGCGACGAUCCGUAACUGGUCUGAGAGGAUGAUCAGUCACACUGGAACUGAGACACGGUCCAGACUCCUACGGGAGGCAGCAGUGGGGAAUAUUGGACAAUGGGCGAAAGCCUGAUCCAGCCAUGCCGCGUGUGUGAAGAAGGUCUUCGGAUUGUAAAGCACUUUAAGUUGGGAGGAAGGGCAGUAAGUUAAUACCUUGCUGUUUUGACGUUACCAACAGAAUAAGCACCGGCUAACUUCGUGCCAGCAGCCGCGGUAAUACGAAGGGUGCAAGCGUUAAUCGGAAUUACUGGGCGUAAAGCGCGCGUAGGUGGUUCAGCAAGUUGGAUGUGAAAUCCCCGGGCUCAACCUGGGAACUGCAUCCAAAACUACUGAGCUAGAGUACGGUAGAGGGUGGUGGAAUUUCCUGUGUAGCGGUGAAAUGCGUAGAUAUAGGAAGGAACACCAGUGGCGAAGGCGACCACCUGGACUGAUACUGACACUGAGUGCGAA
This 713-nucleotide ribosomal RNA is filed under the name Pseudomonas aeruginosa. Its description in RNAcentral is "bacterial SSU rRNA". It matches the Rfam family "Bacterial small subunit ribosomal RNA", at positions 48 to 757 of the family's 1533-position model. The record is from RNAcentral. Lineage: Bacteria; Pseudomonadati; Pseudomonadota; Gammaproteobacteria; Pseudomonadales; Pseudomonadaceae.